RNAcentral lists this transfer RNA (72 nucleotides) under Capra hircus (goat). It matches the Rfam family "tRNA". Rfam says of the family: Transfer RNA (tRNA) molecules are approximately 80 nucleotides in length. Their secondary structure includes four short double-helical elements and three loops (D, anti-codon, and T loops). RNAcentral also lists the same sequence under 1 other name. The record is from Rfam by way of RNAcentral. Lineage: Eukaryota; Metazoa; Chordata; Mammalia; Artiodactyla; Bovidae.
UCCCUGGUGGCUCAGUGGUAAAGAAUUUGCCUGCCAAUGCAGGAGAUACAGGUUUGAUCCCUGGCCAGGGAA